This 424-nucleotide ribosomal RNA is filed under the name uncultured bacterium. Its description in RNAcentral is "bacterial SSU rRNA". It matches the Rfam family "Bacterial small subunit ribosomal RNA", at positions 917 to 1344 of the family's 1533-position model. The record is from RNAcentral.
GGGCCCGCACAAGCGGUGGAGCAUGUGGUUUAAUUCGAUGAUACGCGAGGAACCUUACCAGGGCUUAAAUGUAGUCUGACAGAUUUGGAAACAGAUUUUUCUUCGGACAGAUUACAAGGUGCUGCAUGGUUGUCGUCAGCUCGUGCCGUGAGGUGUCAGGUUAAGUCCUAUAACGAGCGCAACCCCUGUGGUUAGUUGCCAGCGAGUCAAGUCGGGAACUCUAGCCAGACUGCCGGUGCAAACCGUGAGGAAGGUGGGGAUGACGUCAAAUCAUCACGGCCCUUACGUCCUGGGCCACACACGUGCUACAAUGGUCGGUACAGAGGGCAGCUACCACGCGAGUGGAUGCAAAUCUCGAAAGCCGAUCUCAGUUCGGAUUGGAGUCUGCAACUCGACUCUAUGAAGCUGGAAUCGCUAGUAAUCG